CCUACGGGAGGCAGCAGUGGGGAAUAUUGCACAAUGGGCGAAAGCCUGAUGCAGCAACGCCGCGUGAGCGAUGAAGGCCUUCGGGUCGUUAAGCUCUGUCCUCAAGGAAGUUAAUGACGGUACUUGAGGAGUAAGCCCCGGCUAUCUCCGUGCCAGCAGCCGUGGUACUACGUAGGGGGCUAGCGUUAUCCGGAAGUACUGGGCGUAAAGGGUGCGUAGGUGGUUUUUUAAGUCAGAGGUGAAAGGCUACGGCCCAACCGAAGUAAGCCUUUGAAACUGGGAAACUUGAGUGCAGGAGAGGAGAGUGGAAUUCCUAGUGUAGCGGUGAAAUGCUUAGAUAUUAGGAGGAACACCAGUUGCGAAGGCAGCUCUCUGGACUGUAACUGACACUGAGGCACGAAAGCGUGGGGAGCAAACAGGAUUAGAUACCCGAGUAGUC
This 439-nucleotide ribosomal RNA is filed under the name uncultured bacterium. RNAcentral's name for it is "partial 16S ribosomal RNA". It matches the Rfam family "Bacterial small subunit ribosomal RNA", at positions 338 to 795 of the family's 1533-position model. The record is from RNAcentral.